UUGGUCCCGGGGGCGGUACCCGGCGCCUCCACCAAAGCACAAUCGAGCAUCAUUGUUUUUUGGCGGGGGCGAAAUUAGGAUCGACAAGGGUGUAAAGAUUGCUCUUUUACUCGGUAUUGUACCACCGUCAUCGGGCUGAUUGAAUAGUUGCAAACGACAACUAUGCGGAAGUGCGUCUCGCUGCUUAAUGAGGCGCGAAUGCUUCAAAUUAACUCUUAAACCGUCGAAGGUUUAAGCGGGGUUCGGAGG
Molecule: transfer-messenger RNA, 249 nt
Filed under: uncultured Bartonella sp.
Lineage: Bacteria; Pseudomonadati; Pseudomonadota; Alphaproteobacteria; Hyphomicrobiales; Bartonellaceae
Description: partial ssrA
Rfam family: Alphaproteobacteria transfer-messenger RNA
About the family: Bacterial tmRNA, also known as 10Sa RNA or SsrA, is named for its dual tRNA and mRNA-like properties. Its role is to liberate the mRNA from a stalled ribosome.
Source: RNAcentral